The submitters of this non-coding RNA (86 nucleotides) gave its source as unclassified sequences. The record is from Rfam.
AAGGCGUUCGGAGGCGUCGAACCGAGGAUCCCGAUUCGGGCAUCAAGGGACUCGGGGAGCCAGUGAUGCGACCGACCGAAUGAGCU